This 744-nucleotide ribosomal RNA is filed under the name uncultured Hyphomicrobiales bacterium. RNAcentral describes it as "bacterial SSU rRNA". It matches the Rfam family "Bacterial small subunit ribosomal RNA", at positions 8 to 796 of the family's 1533-position model. The record is from RNAcentral. Lineage: Bacteria; Pseudomonadati; Pseudomonadota; Alphaproteobacteria; Hyphomicrobiales.
AGAGUUUGAUCCUGGCUCAGAACGAACGCUGGCGGCAUGCCUAACACAUGCAAGUCGAACGAGUGCCUUCGGGUGCUAGUGGCGCACGGGUGCGUAACGCGUGGGAAUCUGCCCUUCGGUUCGGAAUAACUCAGGGAAACUUGAGCUAAUACCGGAUGAUGACUUCGGUCCAAAGAUUUAUCGCCGAGGGAUGAGCCCGCGUAGGAUUAGCUUGUUGGUGGGGUAAAGGCCUACCAAGGCGACGAUCCUUAGCUGGUCUGAGAGGAUGAUCAGCCACACUGGGACUGAGACACGGCCCAGACUCCUACGGGAGGCAGCAGCCAGGAAUCUUGGGCAAUGGGCGAAAGCCUGACCCAGCAACACCGUGUGGGCGAUGAAGGCCUUAGGGUUGUAAAGCUCUUUCGUCCGGGACGAUAAUGACGGUACCGGAAGAAGAAGCCCCGGCUAACUUCGUGCCAGCAGCCGCGGUAAUACGAAGGGGGCUAGCGUUGUUCGGAAUCACUGGGCGUAAAGGGCGCGUAGGCGGCCUGAUAAGUCGGGGGUGAAAGCCUGUGGCUCAACCACAGAAUUGCCUUCGAUACUGUCGGGCUUGAGACCGGAAGAGGUAAGUGGAACUGCGAGUGUAGAGGUGAAAUUCGUAGAUAUUCGCAAGAACACCAGUGGCGAAGGCGGCUUACUGGUCCGGUUCUGACGCUGAGGCGCGAAAGCGUGGGGAGCAAACAGGAUUAGAUACCCCCGUAGUCC